Molecule: non-coding RNA, 361 nt
Organism: Urocitellus parryii (Arctic ground squirrel)
Lineage: Eukaryota; Metazoa; Chordata; Mammalia; Rodentia; Sciuridae
Source: RefSeq, a predicted model, not a curated record
GGUGUUUUUCAAAAUUCCUAAAUCCAGUUCCAGCAGUGAGAAGUUUUUCUGCAUCACAGUCCUUGCAUCAGGUGGCAGAUCCUGUAUGGAAUCUUAGUCGACUCAAUCAUGUAGCCAUUGCAGUGCCAGAUUUGAAAAAGUCCACAGCAUUUUAUCAGAAUAUUUUGGGGGCCCAGGUAAGUGAGGUGGUCCCUCUUCCUGAACAUGGAGUAUCUGUUGUUUUUGUCAACCUGGGAAAUACCAAGAUGGAAUUGCUUCAUCCACUGGGAAAUGACAGUCCAAUUGCAGGAUUUCUGCAGAAAAACAAGGCUGGAGGAAUGCAUCACAUCUGCAUUGAGGUAUUUUUAUUAUUUUAUUGUUG